GUUCGUGUGAAUCUCAUAUUUAAUUGUUUUUUUAUAUUCACGCUGUCCUGUGCAUAUCAUAAACUGGCUGAAUUCAGGACGGUGUGGGGCAGUUACAGAACUACGCACAGCCUGCUUGUCCAGUGACAUGGGUCUCAGUCAAAACAGAGCUGAAACAGAGCACUUACUUUGUCAUCUACGUUUGAGGCUUUGUCAAAUAUUUAGCGGGAUCGGCAGGUUUGGGUUAAGCAAGAAACCCAUGUAGGGCGUGGUGGCGCAGUCCUUGCAGUCCCUGCACUCAGGAGGCAGCAAGAGAAGAUGGCAAGUUUAAGACCGGGCUAACAACAAUAACAAACAAAGCCCAUGAAAAGCAACAGAAGCAAAUGGUUUGGUAUCUCCAUUAGCUAUGACAUUAGUUGAUACAGAGUUUUGCUUUAAAGGUUACAUUUUAGUUAUCUAUGCAGUUGACUGAAGCAUUUCUCAUAGGAAGGGGGCUCGUUAGACUCAGGAGUUAAGGAAAACAUAGGUAAAGCUCAAGCAGCCCAGACACGAGUCACACUGUGGUGAACCGCUGAUAGGAAAGAAAACUUCAACAGAACAGCCUGCAGGUUGCACAAGGAGCUCCAGGGAAGUAGUCAUUACCCACAGGGGUGGAAUUUUUAGUGACACAGCAAACAGUCUUUGAGUCGGACAUGUUCUUGGAAGUCACCUCAGUCCAGGAGACCAACUGGUUCUCUAAGCUAGACUUGAGUGGAAUCCUAUCAUCGGUGUUAUCAGCAUGGUGUCUGAAAUGAAUAGACAUGCAUUUAAGUUUCUUUAGGAAGAGUCUGGGAUUCAGUUCCAGGGAAUCUGAUGCCUUCUUCUAGCCUCUGAGGACCCUGCAUGCACAUGUUUUACUACAUUCUUAUAGGCAAAACACUCAAACACGAAAAUACAGAUAUUAAAAAGAUGUUUUGGGGCUAGAGAGAUGGAUCAGUGGUCGUCAGGCCUGGCUGUUCUUGUAAAGAUUUGAUUGCCAGCCCCCAAUGGUAGCUUCUUAUACCCAUCUGUAGUUCUGGCUACAGAGGAUCUGAUGCCGUCUUGUGACCUCUGCGGACACUGCACACACAUGCUACACACAAUACAGCACUGUCUUAUACACUGCCACUCUGCUUUGUGUGUCUGGGAAUGUCACCUUUAGGUACCUCAUUUAGAGUAGAAUCUUCGUUCGUUGGAACUGGCUUGUCCGAUUUAAUGACGUCAGCCAUCAUACAUCACUAAUCACUUGUUAGAGAAGCUGUGUAUGUCUUGUUGUGUAGACAUACCACUCAGUCCACUCCUCUGUCCACAGACACUUACAUUGCUUCUGCCUUUAUUGUAACUAAUGCCUCCAUGAACACUGGUAUAUUAGUUACUUUCCUAUCGCUGUGGUUAAGCACCGUGAUCAAGGUGACUUACAGAUGAAAGAUAGAUCUGGACAUAGACUCAGACAGCUAGCUUAUCUAGAGAACACAACUGUUUCAACCCACUAAAUGACCUCCAGAAGUCCUAGUAGCAAUAAAGCAUUUUCAGAUAAAGCUAUUAUGACUUGAAAGCAAAAUGGGUCACUAAUUUCUAAAUUUUUGCUAAGUAGGGUUUAAGCUCACACUGAAUGAUUCAUGUUCUUAAAAAAAAGAAAUUCUUAAUUUUUACCCUUUGAACCAACUGGGGAAAUAGUCCUGGUUUGCCACCAUUCGAGUAACUUUCUACAAAUGAAAUUUACAAAGAAAGAUUUCAGUUGUGGGAAUGUCAAUAAAAAACAUCUUCAAACAGCACGUCUCCCAACAUUCCUAGAGAUAAUUUCAUCCUCGUCCUACAUUUUAGGACAAUUUUUCAAGCAUUGUGAUCCAAGUGAAGUCUAUGUCUUCCCUCCUUAGAUGCUUGGAAAAAUCAGUAAUGAGGACACUAUCGCCUCCUUGUGCUGUGAAUUCUCUCUCUACUCAGUACACUUGAAGCAUGGAAACCAGGUCCUCUUCCAUGCAGACCUAAGAGACUUCCGAAGACGGCUCUGAACUCUCUCUGCCCAGACUCAGGCACCUAACUCCACGAUGCCAGCAACGUUCAAAACAAAAUUAACCAAAACGACAACAAAACUACUCCUUCUGCUGCUUUUACUGACAUGUCUCUAAUUUCUAGUUCUACUUAGUAAGACUGCUCUUCAAUUUUCUUAUUAAUAACAAAAACUUAAUUCCUUGGAGAUUAGCUGAGGAAGAUUGUUAGUAGGACUGUGGGUAGAUAAGCCAGCUGCAGACACGGUUUACUAGCAGGCCAUUUACGGGAUGGAUUUAGGUCGAAGGGUAAGGAGUCUAGAGAGUCAGUGCACGCAGAGCUGGGAGGAAGCUCAGUGCAGAGCUCAGGUCUCUGCAUGCUGGAGGACCACACUGGAGUUUGACAGCAGAUCCACAAUAAACAAAACCAGUGGCGAUGACUGAUUAACAGAUGAUUUUCUGUCAUCCGAUGCUUUACCAAGAAGGCAUGGGUCUUGUAAAAAUCUGAUUUAGGGUCAGUGGACAUGCUCAGUGAGUAAAGUAUGAGGCCUGAGUUCAAAUUCCUAGAAGUCUCGUAAAGCACGGGUGUAGUAAGAGUGUGUAAUGUCAGCACUCUCACGGCUUCAUGGCAAGUUGAGACGAGUCCUCAGAAGGACGUAGGUACUGGCCUGGCACACAGAAGAAAACACAAGUCCCCGUGUCAGACAUGGCAGAAGCUAUACAUGACUUAGCACGUUUGUGUAUUCAUUCAUUCACACAGACACACACGUACACACACACACACAGACACACACACACACACCAUAAAUUAACAAAAAAGAAAACAAAAGGUCUGAUUUUUUCCCCCUCGCUCUGCCAUUUAACAGUAUUUGACUUUAGAAAGGUCAUUUAAUUCUAAUCUACAAGUGGGUAAUGUUCAUUAAGAGUGGAUAUGGGGAACAAUGCUCUUCUAGACAUGUCUGAACAUGUCCUGUGUCCUGUGGGAUGAAAGGGGAGAGUUGCCCACAAGACCACCAUUGUCCUUUCUUAUACCUUUGCUGUCUCAAGUAAAACUCAGGCUGAAGAAAGGAUAACAUUGCUAGCUCCUUUGAUUUCUUUUUUUCAGCAAAUCUUGAAUUUAUUGCUCUUGCUUUUGGUGAUUGAUCAACCUGUGUAAUUCACAGGGCAGGGAGGUCGAGGUGGAGAGAUGUGCAGAUUAUUUUUCCAUGUACGGUCAUUUCUUUUGCUCCAUCAGACUGGAAGAUGGCUAUUAAAUUCAAUUAGUCACUUUUUAUUUUCUUCAUGUUCCAAAGAUUCUUUUUUUCCUGCUGCGCUAGGAGACCUUGAUUUCCGUUGCUAGGAAACCUAGAAGGCGCUUUUGCUCUUCAUGGAAACGGUGUUUAGCAGGAUCAUUUUGACUGAUAGUUUAUUCACUCUUUGGCUUUGUGCCAACUCAAAGGCAGCUCACUUCAAGUCCAUACAAGGUAACUCAUCAAAGCUCAUUUCUUUUGAGCUCACACCUGUCUGAACUGAGUGAUUUUAUGAUCCAAAAUUAAAAAGUCGAGAAAAAAAAUUUACCAAUGGAAAGAGUUGGACUACACAGCAAUGGUAUAUCUUUGAAUGCCUGGCACCGCUCAGAAGAUUUAAAGAAAAAGUUUGUAAGAAAGCAAAAGCACGGAGUUUCCUUUGAUGGAAUGUGUGUAUUUUUUUUUAAAGGACUAAAGAUGUAAGACAAUCUUAAGAUUUAAUAGAUGAAAAUAGAUCAAUUAAAAAUGUCAAGUAUAAUUUUGAGAAAUAAAUAAAAUUGAAUUAAAAAUUAAACUGGAAGCAAGGGAGAUGCCUCAGCGGGUGAAGUAUUGACACACAAGAAUGAGGAUCAGAGUAUAGGAUGCUGGAAACCACGCACAUGUUGGGAGGGUGUACCGUUUGCCUGUAAUCUCUCUGCUUUGUUCAGAGACAGGGAACCCCUGGCUAUCAAGGUCAUCAGGACCAGUUGUGAGUUUAAGCAAGAGAAUCUGUGUCAACAUACAAUGUAAAGAAUGCUGGUGGAAGACAUCAGAUAUUAAUUUAUGGCCUCUACAUGCACACACACACACAUACACACACACAAACACACACACGAAUACACAUAUGUAUAGCACACACAUACACCAUAUACAUCUAUGCAAGCAUUAGAAAGAUGAAAAUAAAUUGGCAGAUUAACCAACUCAGAGCUGAAAAGAGAAGUCAUGAACGGAAGAGUGCGCCACUGUGCCUGGCUCUUUAUGUGAACUCCGAGGACCAAAUUCGGAUGCUCAUGUCGAACAGCAAACAUGUUAUCUACAAAGAUAACUAACUCUCUAGGCUCCUAAAUUCUCAAAUUUACAUAUGUGUGCACACAUGUACAUAUGCACAUAUACACAUGUGCAUAAUAAUACAGUGCAUGUCGGCUUUGAGGAAAAGAUACAGAGAUGCGUGAUGAUGAAAUAAAAGAACAUUAAAGUCAUGGGGUUGGGGAUUUGGCUCAGUGGUAGAGCGCUUGCCUAGCAAGCGCAAGGCCCUGGGUUCCAUCCCCAGCUCCAGGGAAAAAAAAAACAAAAAAAAAACAUCAAAGUCAAGAACAUUUAUGCAAACCCAGAAAAAAGUCGACUGUAAACAUUCAACAACAGAGCUCUCCCGAGCCAUAGCAGAGGCCAGGAAAGAGCAUAACAGCUCGGGAACGCUAAAAAUUAUCUAUGCAAAAACCUCAAAUUCUGCUUUGAACUAAAGAGUAAUAUACAAACAGAGGCAAAACAUAGAUGCAUUCAGACAAAAACACGGCGAGUUCAACUUAUAAUCCUGCUCCAAUAAAUACCAUUCCAGGAAUUUACAGAGAACAAAAGAAAAAAAAACCAAAAAAACAAAAAAAAAUAAACAAAACAAAACAAAAAAAAACCCAAACAAACAAAAAAAAUGAACCCAAAAUAUAGAAAACUUGAAAACAGCAAAAUGUUAGGAGAAGCCUUGGGUGAAUUGAUCUGAAGACCAGCAGAAGCAGAUGGCAGCAUUAAUAAUGGCCGUCCUGGGGGGAGGGGGGCUAUAGAACUAAAGAGCCGCAGGUGAAAGGUCUCACUCAGGAGCACAGCAACACUGAGGAUAAAGCACCCAGGCUCUUCCUGGGUGUCCUGGUACAUGCAUAUAAGAAGCCCAGUUCCGGGAAGGCAUAAACGGGGUGACUGAAAGUGGAGGGUCAGCCUAGGCUAUCUCAGGAGCCUCCUCCUCAAACAACAAGACCAAAGCGACAUAAAAAUUCCAUCAACCAUAAGUUAUUUUAAGUGAAAAGGAUGUUAUUAGAGUCAGUGAGAGAAUGCAGUUGAAAGCAAAUGAUAAUUUAAGAAUUCUAAGUUCCUAUAUAAAUCCUCCGAAUAGGGAGAGCUGAAAUGGACAGUUAGACAGAGGAACUGAAGGCACGCAAUCAUAAUGAAAUGUGCAUAAUUCACAUGGAUCAAGAAGACAAAAAGAUUUAUAAAUGUGCAUCCAGGUGAUAACAAAGUGGGUCAAUAAAGCAGUAUGUUGAGCUCAGCCCUCAGAGGGUUUACACUGUACUCAAAUAUGAACAGUUCACUGCUAAAAGUAGUCCACACACUGAGUCAUAACAAAUCCAGUACAUACAAAACAUGGCAAUAUAUUUUGACCUGUGUUAAAAAUUAAAACCAAAAUGUAUCCCAAAUUUCACAAAUACUUGAAAAUUUAAAAAGUUCAUGGGACUGCUCUUCCAGAGGACCAGAGUUCAAUGACCAGCACCCAUACCAUGGCUCACAACCACGUCUAACUCUAGUUCCAGGGAUCCAACACCCCUAGAGGCCUCCUUGAGCGUUGUUCAUACAUAGUGCACAUACACACAUUUAGACAAAACAGCCAUGCACAAGAAAUAAAAACUAAAGGGUAAAUGAUUCAGUCACACCCAGUUCUCUGCUGCCCUUUUUGAUUUCUCGGACCUGUUUGCCCACCCUGAACCUGUGCUGGGUACCCAACCAGGCUUCAAGGUGAAUAUCGCCGGGACCGGUGGCCUCAGGCAGAGCUACCAAGAGCCUACCCUAUAGGGUAGUUCCGUGAUAGUUUUGGUGGCUGCUAAUAAAAUCCAGCUGUUAUUUUUUGCCGAUUUACUUUUUAUUCUGCAUCUUACUUUUAUACCCACUGCAGAUCAAGACACAAGCAGGGUCAAAGGCAGUCGGUUUGUCUAUCCUGGGCUGUUACGUAACAGCUCCAGCCAGUGGGACCCUUUAUUGGCUCAGCAACCACGGAGGGGAGCCACUUAGGCUGCUGUCAUUGAAAGUACACCAUGGUAUCAAAUAAGACUUGUAGAGUCCGGGAGACAAGCAGGAGACUCUAAGAAAAGGCACACUGGCUUCUGCUCCACCCGCUGCCCUUUUGCGGGUGAGCUCUGGGUGAGUCCACAAUGUCCCCCAGAGCUCUAGCGGGAGGGAUGGCACUGUGAAGUGGGAGAGUCGCUGGUUCCCAGUGUAACUGAUGUGGGUUUCCUGCUCUGUUCGUUCAGGGUAUCCACUUUCCCUCACAUAAUCUGCCAUUGUUCUCCCUGGUUCCUGUUUGAUUUGGCAGGGCCAGCUGCUGGCUGUGCACUCGAGGCUCCUCAUUCCGCUGUGCUAGACUCAGCUGAAACCCUUGCCUCCCCCCAACAGGAGCCAAAUGCAGCAUGAACGGUGACAUUUCUGCUCACCAGGAAAACAUAAAGAAAUCCCAAUGAAGCAAGAAGGUAGACAAAAUCCUUUCCAGCAAUUGAACAAAAAGGGUAUUUUUGGUUUUUUUCUUUUUUUUUUUUUUGCAUCUAAGUUUUAUGGAAGUCAAUUCUCCGACUCUCUGCUGGACUUUCAAACCUCCCUUUCUUUGUCCCACAUAAUUUAAACACACUUAGCUAUUCUGAGGGCGGGCCCAUAUUUGCACGGCAACCAUGGUUGGAGGAUGUCGUUGAAUUUGAAAGGCAGCACUUCCUCGUCGGGUACAUAAAUUCCAAUGAAGGUUCCGAGGAGUGUGCCAGUGGCGGCCGUGUUUGACAGUCAGACAAGAAGGUCAUUUAUCCCAAAAGACUUUGAAUCCAUGCCCAGAGUCAAAUGUAAUCUUUUUAUAAAACUCACGAGGCUUGGAAUAAAAAGUUAACUGACUCAGCGCCCUGCUCGUUAGGGAGUAGGAAGGCUUCGGAGUGGAGAGAGAGCUAAAGAGCUUGAGCAUGUCGGAUGACUUCUUUAUGGGGUCACCCAUGAUAUUUUUUAAUGAGUCUUGUGUAAAAGUUUAUAUUGCUUGUUGAGGGUUGAAAAUACCAUCUCUUUAUGAAAAUUCCCAUUUCCUAGGAAGAAAAUAGAGAAGGAAAAAAAUAAAAUGGGAUAUAGGAAGCCUGUGGGAUAGGACUUUAAAGACCCAGUACAUCAUUGAAUCAGUAAAUGAACUAACGAGUGAGUUUAGUGCCAGCAAGAGACCCCUCCAUAGUUUCAUCCCCAGGUUCCUGCCUCCUUCGAUGAUACACUAUCACCUGCAAGUCGAAGCAAAACCUUUCUUCCCAACUUGUUUCUGGUCGUGGUGUCUAUCACAGGAACAGAAAGCAAACUGUAACAUUGCUGGUGCCGGGGAGGUCACAGACCUCAGGAGCCAUUCACUGUUGCUGUUUUGCCAAGUAGACGUGCUCCCAUCGCCUCCUAAACACUCAUGCUCAUGUGCAUAGAUCAGUGACACUCUCACUGAUGCUCAGGGUGGCUCAUGGCCACAGGAGGGAGUGAACGCAGAGACUCACACCUGGUCAAAGUGUCCAGCCGGGGGAAGGGCGAAGUGCUUGCCCCUCUCUCAAGGUCCAGGGAGCAUUAUGGAAGAACAGGUCAGGGAGACCCUAAGAGCCAGAGGCUAGGGAUGUCUGCCUUUAAAAAGAUGUCUUCCGGACAAGACCUGGCUGCUGUAGUCAUGAACUCACUAUGAAAGAUUGAGGAGUGCUCCUGAGAACCUACUGACAGUGAACCCCUCUCUGAGGGGCCACUGAAAGUUAAUGGUUGCUGUGGGUAAUGUUUCUGUGCUUAGGCUCCAGUAAAUACCCUUCCAGCCUUGCUCAUGUAAAUUCAAUGACUCACACACCAAAAAGAAGACAUGAAAUUGGAGGGUAGUUGCUGAGGAGUUCAGGCAGGAAGAGGAAAGGGGGUGUGAGGAUAGCAGGGAGUGAAAAGACUAGAAUUUAUUAUAUAUGUCUAUGAAACUGUCCAAGAAUAAAAAAUAAUUUUUUAAAAAA
This is a non-coding RNA of Rattus norvegicus (Norway rat), 8208 nucleotides long. NCBI's taxonomy places the organism in Eukaryota, Metazoa, Chordata, Mammalia, Rodentia, Muridae. The record is from RefSeq and is a predicted model, not a curated record.